GAUGAACGCUGGCGGCGUGCCUAAUACAUGCAAGUCGAGCGAACGGACGAGAAGCUUGCUUCUCUGAUGUUAGCGGCGGACGGGUGAGUAACACGUGGAUAACCUACCUAUAAGACUGGGAUAACUUCGGGAAACCGUAGCUAAUACCGGAUAAUAUUUUGAACCGCAUGGUUAAAAAGUGAAAGACGGUCUUGCUGUCACUUAUAGAUGGAUCCGCGCUGCAUUAGCUAGUUGGUAAGGUAACGGCUUACCAAGGCAACGAUGCAUAGCCGACCUGAGAGGGUGAUCGGCCACACUGGAACUGAGACACGGUCCAGACUCCUACGGGAGGCAGCAGUAGGGAAUCUUCCGCAAUGGGCGAAAGCCUGACGGAGCAACGCCGCGUGAGUGAUGAAGGUCUUCGGAUCGUAAAACUCUGUUAUUAGGGAAGAACAUAUGUGUAAGUAACUGUGCACAUCUUGACGGUACCUAAUCAGAAAGCCACGGCUAACUACGUG
This 497-nucleotide ribosomal RNA is filed under the name uncultured bacterium. RNAcentral's name for it is "partial 16S ribosomal RNA". It matches the Rfam family "Bacterial small subunit ribosomal RNA", at positions 28 to 507 of the family's 1533-position model. The record is from RNAcentral.